This 494-nucleotide ribosomal RNA is filed under the name uncultured bacterium. RNAcentral describes it as "partial 16S ribosomal RNA". It matches the Rfam family "Bacterial small subunit ribosomal RNA", at positions 899 to 1397 of the family's 1533-position model. The record is from RNAcentral.
ACUCAAAUGAAUUGACGGGGACCCGCACAAGCGGUGGAUGAUGUGGAUUAAUUCGAUGCAACGCGAAAAACCUUACCUACCCUUGACAUGGUCGGAACCUUGGAGAGAUCCGAGGGUGCUCGAAAGAGAACCGAUACACAGGUGCUGCAUGGCUGUCGUCAGCUCGUGUCGUGAGAUGUUGGGUUAAGUCCCGCAACGAGCGCAACCCUUGUCAUUAGUUGCUACGAAAGGGCACUCUAAUGAGACUGCCGGUGACAAACCGGAGGAAGGUGGGGAUGACGUCAAGUCCUCAUGGCCCUUAUGGGUAGGGCUUCACACGUCAUACAAUGGUGCAUACAGAGGGUUGCCAACCCGCGAGGGGGAGCCAAUCCCAGAAAGUGCAUCGUAGUCCGGAUUGCAGUCUGCAACUCGACUGCAUGAAGUUGGAAUCGCUAGUAAUCGCGGAUCAGCAUGUCGCGGUGAAUACGUUCCCGGGUCUUGUACACACCGCCCGU